Molecule: small RNA, 27 nt
Filed under: Bombyx mori (domestic silkworm)
Lineage: Eukaryota; Metazoa; Arthropoda; Insecta; Lepidoptera; Bombycidae
Description: ovarian small RNA-26775
Source: RNAcentral
UCCAGAUGUUCGUAUUCUAGGUGUGGC